AAAACGAGUUUAGUAGUGGUGGUGUGGUUGAGUUAUGGGCUUCGCCACCGCCGAAGGCAAUUUUCGACACAACAGAGCGAUUUCAUGUGAAAGGGUGGGUGAGAAUAGAGGAGAGACGGAUCUGAGGAGAAUGAAGGGGAAUUUCAUGCUCUUCCCCUCUUUCUGAGCGUCCAUGGGCCAUGGAUCAAAGGCCUAAUGUAUUUUUUUUAUUCAUAACGUAUCCUUUCCUUGCUUAUUUCCCCCUGACACAAUCAAACAAGCAAAAAAAUAACUUGGGCUUCAAGUCUCUGGGCCCAGCACCCUGAUACUAUUCACACUCCCUCUUUCA
This 328-nucleotide long non-coding RNA is filed under the name Lathyrus oleraceus (garden pea). RNAcentral describes it as "Pisum sativum (pea) long non-coding RNA (PSAT_LNC015954)". The record is from RNAcentral. Lineage: Eukaryota; Viridiplantae; Streptophyta; Magnoliopsida; Fabales; Fabaceae.